RNAcentral lists this ribosomal RNA (430 nucleotides) under uncultured bacterium. RNAcentral's name for it is "bacterial SSU rRNA". It matches the Rfam family "Bacterial small subunit ribosomal RNA", at positions 354 to 776 of the family's 1533-position model. The record is from RNAcentral.
GUGGGGAAUUUUGCGCAAUGCUCGAAAGAGUGACGCAGCGACGCCGCGUGAAUGACGAAGGCCUUCGGGUCGUAAAGUUCUUUCGACAGGGAAGAAUGUGUAUAGUAGUAACUGACUAUACAGUGACGGUACCUGUAUAAGCAGCCCCGGCUAACUCCGUGCCAGCAGCCGCGGUAAUACGGAGGGGGCGAGCGUUGUUCGGAGUGACUGGGCGUAAAGAGCACGUAGGCGGUGGUGUAAGUCAUUAGUCAAAGACUAGAGCUCAACUUUAGUAAGGCUAGUGAUACUAUAGUACUAGAGUAUCAGAGAGGAUUGCAGAAUUCCUGGUGUAGCGGUGAAAUGCGUAGAUAUCAGGAGGAAUACCAUUAGCGAAGGCGGCGAUCUGGCUGGAAACUGACGCUGAGGUGCGAAAGCGUGGGUAGCAAACAGG